UUUCUCCUCUUGGGUUCUCUGCGAUCGGAAAAAUAGCAAAACCCUAGCUCAAAGCCCUAGAACAAAUCAGGAGGGAGCCCAUGGCGUAUCAACACCAAUCAUCUAAUCACACCGGAGACAACGACGACGGCAAGAAUCGACGGCUCUAUAACCCUUACCAAGACCUACAAGUUCCAAGCAAAACACUUUACAAGCUUCCUACCUCACCUGAGUUUCUGUUUCAGGAAGAAUCUAUUGCCCAGCGUAGAUCAUGGGGAGAGAAUUUGACUUAUUACACUGGUAUCGGUU
This 288-nucleotide unclassified non-coding RNA is filed under the name Hevea brasiliensis (rubber tree). Lineage: Eukaryota; Viridiplantae; Streptophyta; Magnoliopsida; Malpighiales; Euphorbiaceae. The record is from RNAcentral.